GACGAACGCUGGAGGCGUGCUUAACACAUGCAAGUCGAACGAUGAAAUGGAGCUUGCUCCAUGGAUUAGUGGCGAACGGGUGAGUAACACGUGAAUAACCUGCCCUUAAUUUUGGAAUAACCCAGGGAAACCUGGGCUAAUACCGGAUAAGUAAACCUGUGGCAUCACAUGGUUUUGAAAGUUUUUCGAUUAAGGAUGGAUUCGCGGCCUAUCAGCUUGUUGGUGAGGUAAUGGCUCACCAAGGCGACGACGGGUAGCCGGCCUGAGAGGGUGAACGGCCACACUGGGACUGAGACACGGCCCAGACUCCUACGGGAGGCAGCAGUGGGGAAUAUUGCGCAAUGGACGAAAGUCUGACGCAGCGACGCCUCGUGAGGGACGAAGGUCUUCGGAUUGUAAACCUCUUUCAGCAGGGACGAAGCGAAAGUGACGGUACCUGCAGAAGAAGCACCGGCUAACUAUGUGCCAGCAGCCGCCGUAA
This 481-nucleotide ribosomal RNA is filed under the name uncultured bacterium. RNAcentral describes it as "partial 16S ribosomal RNA". It matches the Rfam family "Bacterial small subunit ribosomal RNA", at positions 28 to 523 of the family's 1533-position model. The record is from RNAcentral.